GGUAUUUAAUGACCCAAAAGAGUUAACAGCUGAGGAGAUGUAUGAAUUGCGAUUACGUUGGUCAACAUAUUUUUUGGAGUUAUUGGAGGGUUAAGAUUUAUCUGGGUGAUGAAUUGGUUAUUAGCUUUAGUUUGAGUCUUGGAAGCAGAUCAGGUGAUGGAAUUGGUAUUUUGGCUCGGAUGUGCAUCUCACUGUUUUGGACUGUUUAUUUUGGACUAUUUUAGGAUGGUUUUAUGAAGGAAUUGGUAUUAGAAUUGGUAUUUUUGUGAUGGAAUUGGUAUUUUAUGAAGGAUUGGUAUUUUAGAAUUGGUAUUUUAGGAAUUGGUAUUUUAGGAUUGGUAUUUUAGGAAUUGGUAUUUUAGGACUGUUUAUCAGGUGAUGGAAUUGGUAUUUUAGGAUGUGCAUACUGUUCUAGAGUUUUGAUUUUU
Molecule: long non-coding RNA, 428 nt
Organism: Trifolium pratense (red clover)
Lineage: Eukaryota; Viridiplantae; Streptophyta; Magnoliopsida; Fabales; Fabaceae
Exons: 2
Source: RefSeq, a predicted model, not a curated record